UACGAAGGGGGCUAGCGUUGUUCGGAAUUACUGGGCGUAAAGCGCGCGCAGGCGGUCCUUCAAGUCAGAGGUGAAAGCCCAGAGCUCAACUCUGGAAUGGCCUUUGAGACUAGAGGACUUGGGUACGGGAGAGGUGAGUGGAAUUCCGAGUGUAGAGGUGAAAUUCGUAGAUAUUCGGAAGAACACCAGUGGCGAAGGCGGCUCACUGGCCCGUUACCGACGCUCAGGCGCGACAGCGUGGGGGAGCAAACAGG
RNAcentral lists this ribosomal RNA (254 nucleotides) under uncultured bacterium. RNAcentral's name for it is "partial 16S ribosomal RNA". It matches the Rfam family "Bacterial small subunit ribosomal RNA", at positions 524 to 776 of the family's 1533-position model. The record is from RNAcentral.